RNAcentral lists this ribosomal RNA (253 nucleotides) under uncultured bacterium. RNAcentral describes it as "partial 16S ribosomal RNA". It matches the Rfam family "Bacterial small subunit ribosomal RNA", at positions 524 to 776 of the family's 1533-position model. The record is from RNAcentral.
GACGUAGGGCGCAAGCGUUGUCCGGAUUUAUUGGGCGUAAAGAGCUCGUAGGCGGCUCGUUGCGUCGGCUGUGAAAACCCGCAGCUCAACUGUGGGCUUGCAGCCGAUACGGGCGGGCCGGAGUUCGGUAGGGGAGACUGGAAUUCCUGGUGUAGCGGUGAAAUGCGCAGAUAUCAGGAGGAACACCGGUGGCGAAGGCGGGUCUCUGGGCCGAUACUGACGCUGAGGCGCGAAAGCUAGGGGAGCAAACGGG